This 246-nucleotide ribosomal RNA is filed under the name uncultured bacterium. RNAcentral's name for it is "partial small subunit ribosomal RNA". It matches the Rfam family "Bacterial small subunit ribosomal RNA", at positions 26 to 285 of the family's 1533-position model. The record is from RNAcentral.
AGAAUCAACGCUGGCGGCGUGCCUAACACAUGCAAGUCGCACGAGAAAGGGUAGCAAUACCUGAGUACAGUGGCGCACGGGUGAGUAACACGUGAAUAAUCUACCUCCGAGUGGGGAAUAAACCUAGGGAAACCUGGGCUAAUACCGCAUAACACUUACGAGUCAAAGCAGCAAUGCGCUUGGAGAGGAGUUCGCGGCAGAUUAGCUAGUUGGUGGGGUAAUGGCCCACCAAGGCGAUGAUCUGUA